This 408-nucleotide unclassified non-coding RNA is filed under the name Hevea brasiliensis (rubber tree). Lineage: Eukaryota; Viridiplantae; Streptophyta; Magnoliopsida; Malpighiales; Euphorbiaceae. The record is from RNAcentral.
AUGCAUUGUGAAAAGGACAAAAAGAGGGUAAAUUAGCAUAGUGAAAGGCUCUCGGUUUUUGUUGAAUUUUUUCUUUCAUUUUUGCUGAGCUUAAACACGAAAAAAAGUUGAACUUGAAAGUUGAAACGGACUCUUCCUUGGUUACUCUGCUAUCGGCUUCUCCUUCUCCAGAAGCAAAGCUCUUGAACUGAUUGGUCAUGCGGUUUCCCAGUAGAUCUAGUGGAAGAGCAUUUGUUCUUGAUCCUGCUUGAAAUCAAGAAUUUUAGAAUAAAAAAUCUCUCUAUUUUUAGUACUGCACUGUUGAUUUCCUUUCGAACUGAUAACUCUGCCAUUCCAUUUGGCAAUGCAAGUGACUGCAACGUCGAAGGUCCAGCAAAUGUUGAACCAAUUGGCUUAAAUUAGAAGAGG